CCUACGGGAGGCAGCAGUGGGGAAUAUUGCACAAUGGGGGAAACCCUGAUGCAGCAACGCCGCGUGAGUGAGGAAGUAUUUCGGUAUGUAAAGCUCUAUCAGCAGGGAAUAGAAAAGAAGGUACCUGAAAAAGAAGCCCCGGCUAACUACGUGCCAGCCGCCGCGGUAAUACGUAGGGGCCAAGCGUUAUCCGGAUUUACUGGGUGUAAAGGGAGCGUAGACGGAAAGUCAAGUCAGAAGUGAAAGCCCAAGGCUCAACCAUGGGACUGCUUUUGAAACUGGCAAACUAGAGUACAGGAGAGGUAGGAGGAAUUCGUGGUGUAGCGGUGAAAUGCGUAGAUAUUAGGAGGAACACCAGUGGCGAAGGCGGCCUACUGGACCGAAACUGACGUUGAGGCUCGAAAGUGUGGGGAGCAAACAGGAUUAGAUACCCGGGUAGUC
RNAcentral lists this ribosomal RNA (441 nucleotides) under uncultured bacterium. RNAcentral's name for it is "partial 16S ribosomal RNA". It matches the Rfam family "Bacterial small subunit ribosomal RNA", at positions 338 to 795 of the family's 1533-position model. The record is from RNAcentral.